GAGGGUAUAGCUCAGUGGUAGAGCAUGUGCUUGGCAUGCAAAAGGGCCUGGGUUCAACCCCCAGUACCUCCA
Molecule: transfer RNA, 72 nt
Organism: Camelus ferus (Wild Bactrian camel)
Lineage: Eukaryota; Metazoa; Chordata; Mammalia; Artiodactyla; Camelidae
Rfam family: tRNA
About the family: Transfer RNA (tRNA) molecules are approximately 80 nucleotides in length. Their secondary structure includes four short double-helical elements and three loops (D, anti-codon, and T loops).
Source: Rfam